GAUGAACGCUAGCUACAGGCUUAACACAUGCAAGUCGAGGGGCAGCGCAGUGUAGCAAUACAUGGGCGGCGACCGGCGCACGGGUGCGUAACGCGUAUCCAACCUUCCCGAUACUCUUGGAUAGCCUUCCGAAAGGGAGAUUAAUACAAGAUGGUGUUUCACUUUCGCAUGUUAUUGAAACUAAAGAUUUAUCGGUAUCGGAUGGGGAUGCGUGACAUUAGAUAGUAGGCGGGGUAACGGCCCACCUAGUCUACGAUGUCUAGGGGUUCUGAGAGGAAGGUCCCCCACACUGGAACUGAGACACGGUCCAGACUCCUACGGGAGGCAGCAGUGAGGAAUAUUGGUCAAUGGUCGGAAGACUGAACCAGCCAAGUAGCGUGAAGGAUGAAGGUUCUAUGGAUUGUAAAACUUCUUUUAUACGGGAAUAAAACCACCUACGUGUAGGUGCUUGUAUGUACCGUAUGAAUAAGCAUCGGCUAACUCCGUG
Molecule: ribosomal RNA, 487 nt
Filed under: uncultured bacterium
Lineage: Bacteria
Description: bacterial SSU rRNA
Rfam family: Bacterial small subunit ribosomal RNA
Source: RNAcentral